This is a ribosomal RNA of Gadus morhua (Atlantic cod), 119 nucleotides long. The record is from Ensembl. NCBI's taxonomy places the organism in Eukaryota, Metazoa, Chordata, Actinopteri, Gadiformes, Gadidae.
GCUUACGGCCAUACCACCUUAGGCACGCCCGAUCUCGUAUGAUCUCGGAAGCUAAGCAGGGUCGGGCCUGGUUAGUACUUGGAUGGGUGACCGCCUGGGAAUACCAGGUGCUGUAAGCA